GGAAAGUCUUCUUCACGCUGGACAAAUAGCAAAAGCUUUCAUCCAUUCCAUGACAGUAAGUUUGUCUCUGGACCUUGGUUUCCAGCACAAUAACAGGGACUCUGCUCCUACUCACUUCUCCUGUCUACACUGCACAGGGUUCCACAUUCUUAAAGUCUGUCUUCUAGAUCAUUAUCCCUAAUGAACUUAUUUGACAGGGCAUUUAAUACAGAUAAAGACAGAGAUGCAUGAUGAAGAGGAGGUUGGGCUUAUAUAAGUAACUUAAAUUCUGAAGUAGAGAUAUCUCAUCUCAUAAAUGAAAAUGCAUGAGCAAUAUAAAUAGCAAGUCUGAGUAUUUUUUAUAGAUGACUAUGUCUCCUAUCACAGAAGGACAAUGGUAAGACACAAACUUGAAAUCGAGGUACUAUACUUGUUAAUAUACAACAGCCUGUCUCCUAUGUGUUCUAAUUCAGCAACCAUUGGCCCACCAACCGUGGCUCUCUCUAGCUCAUCCAACUCCAUCUCAGUAACCAUAAGUGUUCCAUGGAUUCUACAACACAGCAAGUGUAUGUCCGAGGAAAACAAGAAGAAAACCCGCUUCCUUGUUAAUGUGUCAGACGUUUCAGAGGU
Molecule: non-coding RNA, 609 nt
Organism: Pelobates cultripes (western spadefoot toad)
Lineage: Eukaryota; Metazoa; Chordata; Amphibia; Anura; Pelobatidae
Source: the annotation of a GenBank genome assembly